CUAAGGCUAUGGCACCCUGAACAACCUCGAUCUCAUCUGAUCUCGGAAGCUAAGCAGGGUCGAGCCUGGUUAGUAUACUUGGAUAGUAGACCACCUAAAAAAAACAAAAACAAAAACCCUGUAGCUCCUUAUC
This 133-nucleotide ribosomal RNA is filed under the name Pteropus alecto (black flying fox). The record is from RNAcentral. Lineage: Eukaryota; Metazoa; Chordata; Mammalia; Chiroptera; Pteropodidae.